Molecule: unclassified non-coding RNA, 708 nt
Filed under: Hevea brasiliensis (rubber tree)
Lineage: Eukaryota; Viridiplantae; Streptophyta; Magnoliopsida; Malpighiales; Euphorbiaceae
Source: RNAcentral
CAUUGGGCCAAAGAAUGCCCCAACAAAACGCCCCAGAAGUCACAGCCCUCCAGCCCUGGAUCAACCUCCGCGAAUGGUUCUGGUUUGCCACCGAUUCGAUGUCCUUGUGGUCGAGGCACUUGCCAAAUUCUCACCUCCAAAACGGAGAAAAAUCCUGAGAGGAAGUUCUAUAGGUGCCCUGGUGAUAGAUCAACGGUUGAUGGCUACUGUAACUUCUUUAAAUGGUGCGAUGAAUUAAGUGAUAGAGCUCUGUGCCCUUGUGGUGUUGGAAUUUGUAGUCUAAAUCUUAGCAGAGAAUCCACAGGGCCCAAUGGAGAAAAUUGGUACUUUGCUUGCAGGAUUAAAAAGAAUCACGGAGCUUGUAGUUUUUUCCAGUGGGUAGAUUCUGAAGUGAAUGCAAUGAUGAGAAAGUAUGUGGGUAAAAGCAAUGGGUCUAACAGUGCAAUUAAUGAAUUGGACAAUAAAGAAUUGAGUUCUACAAUAGGUGACUCUGGCACUAUCUUAGUAGGUGCUGAAAAUGCCUCAAAUAUGCCAAACAUUGUUAUACCUUCAGAGCAAGAUGAAAUGCACAAUUGGGAACUUGUCAUGGAAGAUGUGGAGUCAGAGGUUCCACUGCUAGUUUUCCAACGUAUGCGUCAAUCAAAGUCUUAUUUCCUGAAAGAGUUAGCCAGGCAAAUUUCUGUUGCAGGGAAUACCAUAACUCAGGAU